Molecule: transfer RNA, 73 nt
Filed under: Felis catus (domestic cat)
Lineage: Eukaryota; Metazoa; Chordata; Mammalia; Carnivora; Felidae
Rfam family: tRNA
About the family: Transfer RNA (tRNA) molecules are approximately 80 nucleotides in length. Their secondary structure includes four short double-helical elements and three loops (D, anti-codon, and T loops). Further hydrogen bonds mediate the characteristic L-shaped molecular structure. tRNAs have two regions of fundamental functional importance: the anti-codon, which is responsible for specific mRNA codon recognition, and the 3' end, to which the tRNAs corresponding amino acid is attached (by aminoacyl-tRNA synthetases). tRNAs cope with the degeneracy of the genetic code in two manners: having more than one tRNA (with a specific anti-codon) for a particular amino acid; and 'wobble' base-pairing, i.e. permitting non-standard base-pairing at the 3rd anti-codon position.
Source: Rfam by way of RNAcentral
GCCUGGCUGGCUCGAAUGGUAGAGCAUGUGACUCUUAAUCUCAGGGUUAUGAGUUCGAGUCCCAUGUUGGGUA